AUUGAACGCUGGCGGCAUGCCUUACACAUGCAAGUCGAACGGCAGCACAGGUGCUUGCACCUGGUGGCGAGUGGCGAACGGGUGAGUAAUACAUCGGAACAUGUCCUGUAGUGGGGGAUAGCCCGGCGAAAGCCGGAUUAAUACCGCAUACGAUCUACGGAUGAAAGCGGGGGCCCUUCGGGCCUCGCGCUAUAGGGUUGGCCGAUGGCUGAUUAGCUAGUUGGUGGGGUAAAGGCCUACCAAGGCGACGAUCAGUAGCUGGUCUGAGAGGACGACCAGCCACACUGGAACUGAGACACGGCCCAGACUCCUACGGGAGGCAGCAGUGGGGAAUUUUGGACAAUGGGCGAAAGCCUGAUCCAGCAAUGCCGCGUGUGUGAAGAAGGCCUUCGGGUUGUAAAGCACUUUUGUCCGGAAAGAAAACCUUGGCCCUAAUACGGUCGGGGGAUGACGGUACCGGAAGAAUAAGCACCGGCUAACUACGUG
This 486-nucleotide ribosomal RNA is filed under the name uncultured bacterium. RNAcentral describes it as "partial 16S ribosomal RNA". It matches the Rfam family "Bacterial small subunit ribosomal RNA", at positions 30 to 507 of the family's 1533-position model. The record is from RNAcentral.